GGCCUGUGAUGCAUAUAAGAAAUUGUUUGUACCAUCUGAUUAUAUUCUCAUUUCAUGUAUUUAAACCCUCUAGCUUCUUAGGCCU
Molecule: small nucleolar RNA, 85 nt
Filed under: Jatropha curcas
Lineage: Eukaryota; Viridiplantae; Streptophyta; Magnoliopsida; Malpighiales; Euphorbiaceae
Description: small nucleolar RNA snoR117
Rfam family: small nucleolar RNA snoR117
Source: Rfam by way of RNAcentral